RNAcentral lists this ribosomal RNA (499 nucleotides) under uncultured bacterium. Its description in RNAcentral is "partial 16S ribosomal RNA". It matches the Rfam family "Bacterial small subunit ribosomal RNA", at positions 899 to 1397 of the family's 1533-position model. The record is from RNAcentral.
ACUCAAAUGAAUUGACGGGGGCCCGCACAAGCGGUGGAGCAUGUGGUUUAAUUCGAUGCAACGCGAAGAACCUUACCUACCCUUGACAUCCUCGGAACUUGUCAGAGAUGACUUGGUGCCUUCGGGAACCGAGAGACAGGUGCUGCAUGGCUGUCGUCAGCUCGUGUCGUGAGAUGUUGGGUUAAGUCCCGUAACGAGCGCAACCCUUAUCCUUAGUUGCCAACACGUCAUGGUGGGAACUCUAAGGAGACUGCCGGUGAUAAACCGGAGGAAGGUGAGGACGACGUCAAGUCAUCAUGGCCUUUAUGGGUAGGGCCACACACGUGCUACAAUGGGCAGUACAAAGGGUUGCCAACCCGCGAGGGGGAGCUAAUCUCAAAAAACUGUUCGUAGUCCGGAUUGGAGUCUGAAACUCGACUCCAUGAAGUUGGAAUCGCUAGUAAUCGCGGAUCAGAACGCCGCGGUGAAUACGUUCCCGGGCCUUGUACACACCGCCCGU